RNAcentral lists this ribosomal RNA (249 nucleotides) under uncultured bacterium. RNAcentral describes it as "partial 16S ribosomal RNA". It matches the Rfam family "Bacterial small subunit ribosomal RNA", at positions 524 to 772 of the family's 1533-position model. The record is from RNAcentral.
GACAGAGGGUGCAAACGUUGCUCGGAAUUACUGGCGUAAAGGGCGUGUAGGCGGGAAGGCAAGUCGGGCGUGAAAUCCCCAGGCUCAACCUGGGAACUGCACUCGAAACUGCCUUUCUUGAGUGCCGGAGAGGAAAGCGGAAUUCCUGGUGUAGAGGUGAAAAUUCGUAGAUAUCAGGAGGAACACCAGUGGCGAAGGCGGCUUUCUGGACGGUAACUGACGCUGAGACGCGAAAGCGUGGGGAGCAAA